Long non-coding RNA from Hibiscus syriacus, 480 nucleotides. RefSeq lists it as uncharacterized. The record is from RefSeq and is a predicted model, not a curated record. Lineage: Eukaryota; Viridiplantae; Streptophyta; Magnoliopsida; Malvales; Malvaceae. The transcript is spliced from 3 exons.
AACAGUGAAGGCAUUCGUCGAGUCAGCUGUCUAACUGAUCCUGUAAAGAAGUGUCUGGUGUGCACCAAAGCUUCAGAGCCCGGUAACAAAAACCAAAGGCUUAAUACAAGCAUAACUAUUAGUUAUUCUAAGCCUUCAGGAAGAUGCACCAUUCUAAUAGGUGCUGGAAAGUUUUUCUACCACAGUGCUCUUCAAUGGUUUCCAACAUAUGGGUUAGUUUUUGCUCAUUCUUGAAAUUUUAUAUAUAAUACAUAUAGAUAUGGGAAACUCCAUGUUGAUCACAGUGAAUUCUGAUCAUUGAAGGGAGAAAUUCUAGCCUUUGUGGUAAUCUUAGAAAUUGGAUGUACUUGUCGAAAUUUUUUUGGUAACUCCAAGAUGGAAUGUGAUCUAAAUGUGUUAAUAUCGUACUAUUUCUUUUGCUCCAAUGGCUAGGCUAUAACAUGGGGAUAGUCCUCUUUCUAUCCCAGUCUUUGUGGUAAU